This 402-nucleotide ribosomal RNA is filed under the name Bacteroidota bacterium. RNAcentral describes it as "Bacteroidetes bacterium partial 16S ribosomal RNA". It matches the Rfam family "Bacterial small subunit ribosomal RNA", at positions 355 to 776 of the family's 1533-position model. The record is from RNAcentral. Lineage: Bacteria; Pseudomonadati; Bacteroidota.
UGGGGAAUUUUGCACAAUGGGGGAAACCCUGAUGCAGCGACGCCGCGUGAUUUAGAAGGCCUUCGGGUUGUAAAAAUCGUUUGUAUAGGAAGAAAAUGACAGUAAUAUACGAAUAAGGACCGGCUAAUUACGUGCCAGCAGCCGCGGUAAUACGUAAGGUCCGAGCGUUGUCCGGAAUCAUUGGGCGUAAAGGGUACGUAGGCGGGUAAGCAAGUUAGAAGUGAAAUCCUAUAGCUCAACUAUAGUAAGCUUUUAAAACUGCUCAUCUUGAGGUAUGGAAGGGAAAGUGGAAUUCCUAGUGUAACGGUGAAAUGCGCAGAUAUUAUGAGGAAUACCGGUGGCGAAGGCGACUUUCUGGCCAUAACCUGACGCUGAGGUACGAAAGCGUGGGUAGCAAACAGG